GGUUCCAUGGUGUAAUGGUGAGCACUCUGGACUUUGAAUCCAGUGAUCAGAGUUCAAGUCUCGGUGGAACCUA
Molecule: transfer RNA, 73 nt
Filed under: Merluccius polli (Benguela hake)
Lineage: Eukaryota; Metazoa; Chordata; Actinopteri; Gadiformes; Merlucciidae
Description: tRNA-Gln
Rfam family: tRNA
About the family: Transfer RNA (tRNA) molecules are approximately 80 nucleotides in length. Their secondary structure includes four short double-helical elements and three loops (D, anti-codon, and T loops).
Source: RNAcentral